GCAGACAUGCACACACUGACCAAACUGAAGGUACUGCACGCACACACACACACACACGCACAAACACACACAAACAUACACACACACACACACACACAAACAAACACACACACACACACACACACACACACACGCACGCACACACACACGCACGCACACACACACGCACACACACGCGCACACACACACGCACACACACAUACACACACACACACACACACACACACAGAAAAGUGUUAUUUUGUGUAUUUCCUGAAUCUGUAUAGUUUUGUUACAUUAAUGGUGGAUUAUGAAGUGUGUGUGUGUGUGUGUGUUUACUCUGACCUGCGGUGGGCUAAUGCAUGCCUGAUGUAUUGGUGUGUGUGUGUGUGUGUGUGUGUGUAGAGCCACAUGAAGGCGUGCUGUCAGCCGCUGCACGAGGACACGUUCGGGGGGAAUCUGAAGGUGGGUCUGGCUCAGGUCGCGGCGAUGGAGAUCAGCAAGGGAAACCACCGAGACAACAAAGCUGUGAUCCGCUACCUGCCCUGGCUAUACCACCCGCCCUCAGCCAUGCAGCAGGGACCCAAAGAGUUCAUCGAGUGUGUGUCGCACAUCCGUCAGCUGUCGUGGCUGCUGCUGGGUUCUCUUACCCACACUGCACUGCAGCAGGGCUCCUCCUGCUGUAUGCCCAUCCCGCUGGACGCCGGCUCACACAUCGCAGACCACCUGAUCGUCAUCCUGAUCGGCUUCCCGGAGCAGUCCAAGACGUCAGUGCUGCACAUGUGUUCGCUCUUCCACGCCUUCAUGUUCGCUCAGCUGUGGACGGUGUACUGUGAGCAGGCGUCCACCGCUCCCUCCAGCCAGAACCAGAACCAGAACCAGAGCGAGCUGUGCAGCGGAGCCCUGCUCACCGGCCUGGAGUUCUGGAGCCGCGUCACACCCAGCAUACUGCAGCUCAUGGCACACAACAGAGUGGUGAGAGACACACACACACACACUCAAUGACUCACAUAUGCACACACACACACACACACUCACUCUCUUUCUCUGUGUAUAUGUGUGUGUGUGUGUGUGUGUGUGUGUGUGUGUGUGUUCAGAUGGUGGAGAUGGUGUGUCUGCAUGUCAUCAGCCUGAUGGAGGCGCUGCAGGAGUGUAACUCCACCAUCUUUGUUAAGGUAGGAGACCCUCUGCAUCAGUGUCUGUCUAAAUGCUGAUGUGUGUGUGUAUAAUAGACAUUCAGUGUGUGUGUGUGUGUGUGUGUGUGUGUGCGUAUAAUAGACAUUCAGUGUGUGUGUGUGUGCGAGUGUGUGUGUGUGUGUGUGUGUGUGUGUGUGUGUGUGUGUGAGUGUGUGUGUGUGUGAGUGUGUUUGGUGUUGUAACGUCUUCUUCUCCUGUGUUCAGCUGAUCCCCAUGUGGCUGCCGAUGAUCCAGUCUAACCUGAAUGUAAGUGUUGAUCACAGCGCUGCUCCUGCUCUGCUCCACAGUCACAUGUUGAAGCAUCACUCCACUCCUCAUGCUCAUUUACAGCUCCUCUAGAGGCACACAGAUCAGUCUGACCAUGUCUGAGUCCAUUCAGCUGAUCUCUGGGUCUGGUGGAGCGCUUUUAGCUUAGCUUAGCAUAAAUCAUUGAAUCGGAUUAGACCAUUAGCACCCAAAAAUGAACAUUCUGUCAUUAUUUACUGGCCUUUAACUUGUUUCAAACCUUUAUGAGUCUCUUUUUUAUAUGUUAAGCACAAAAGAAGAUAUUUUGAAGAAUGCGGAAAACCUGUAACCAUUGACUUCUGUGAUAUUUGUUUUUCCUGCUGUGGAGGUCAAUGGUUACCGGUUUUCAGCUUUCUCAGAAUAUCANNNNNNNNNNNNNNNNNNNNNNNNNNNNNNNNNNNNNNNNNNNNNNNNNNNNNNNNNNNNNNNNNNNNNNNNNNNNNNNNNNNNNNNNNNNNNNNNNNNNGCAGAUUUUAACUCAAAUAAACAAGAGGCUUUUUAUUAAACGAGCAUUAGUUUGAGUGUGUGUUUGUGUCCUGAAAUCAUUUAUUGUAAACACACACUCACCGGCCACUUUAUUAGGUACACCUGUCUAACUGCUCACUAACGCACAUGUUUAAUCAGCCAAUCACAGGGCAGCAGCUCACUGCAUUUAGGCAUGUAGACAUGAUCAAGAGGAUCUGCUGCAGGUCAGAGCGAGCAUCAGAAUGGGGAAGAAAGGGGAUUUAAGAGACUCUGAACGUGGCAUGGUUGUUAUUUCAGAAACUGCUGAUCUACUGGGAUUUUCACGCACAACCAUCUCUAGAGUUUACAGAGAAUGCUCCGACAAACAGGAAAUAUGUGGUGGAACAGGAGAUUGGCAUCAUGGAUGUGCAGCCGACAAAUCUGCAGCAACUGUGUGAUGCUAUCAUGACAAUAUGGAGCAAAAUCUCUGAGGAAUAUCUCCAGCAGCUUGUUGAAUCUACAACACCGAGGAUUAAGGCAGUUCUGAAGGAAAAAGAGGGUCCAACCCGGUGCUAGUGAAGUGUACCUAAUAAAGUGGCCGGUGUGUGUGUGUGUGUGAUGAACUCCCACUGCUGAGACGCAGCAUCUGUCUGAGCUCUGCUGCCGUGUGUGUUUGAACUCAAAGGUCUUUCAGAAGCUCCUCAUUAAAGCCGCUCAUAUCAUCAUCAUCAUCAUCAUCAGCAGCAGCAGCAGCAGAGGAUCCACCAUGAUCAGUCCAGUGUUCUUACAAUAUUGAUCAUCUCCAAUAAUGCAGCAGACACGAGAUGUAGCCUGACCCUGUGAGCAUGUGUGAAUCAUCAACAGACACAGGUUAGUUUAGCCUCUGUAUUUACAGUCAUGCAUCAUUCAUACAUCAGCUUACACAUGUGGACUGAUGUACACGGCAGAAAUGCUGCGUUUGGGUCUUGUUUCUAGGCUAAAUGUCCACAAACUCUGAAAUCAGUCAGCAUUUUCUGGACAAGCAACAAUAUGGUCUUGUUUUCAGAAAUAAAUGAAGAGUUUUACCUUAAAACAAGCAAAAUAAUCUGACAAUGGGGGAAGACAGAUGCCUAUUUGCUUUCAAAUAACAUUAUUUAAAUGAGAAGCUCGCUGAACUUUCUGAAAACAGGACUAUCUGCUGUGCUUGUCUAGAAAAUGCUGACGGAUUUCAGAAUGUUGAGAUAUUUGGACUAGAGACAAGGCAAAACCAUAAAGAAAGGCAUUCUUCAGUGUGUUCUGUAGUAUUGUGUCUACUGUUGAUAUAUAUUGCACAUGUAAAUCACGCUGCACUGCAUCACUAUCCUGCAGAGUGUUCACCUGCUCUCCGUUUCUCCUCGUCCUCCAGCAGGUUGCAGUGCAUUAGAGUCCGUCGGUCGGCCAUAUUGGAGAGCAGAAGGUAAACAAACCCACUGAACCCAACAGAACUGUUUCACUGAGCUGAUCACUGCUGCAGAAACGGAUCAGUUAUAGAGAUGUUCUGGGCUGUGCUCAUCGCUCAGUUCGACUAUUACAGGAAGUGAAAAUAAAGGAAAAGAGCAGCGGGAGGAACUACACCUACUUCAUCUGCACACUAUGAUCUUCCUCACAGCAAACACCUGAGGAGAUGACAGACUCGUGAGCUCCAGAUGAACCCUCUGCUGCUGAAUCUAUAAUAUAGUGUCUAUAAUAACAGAGCGCUCCAUCAAUGAGGAGGUAGCUUGUCCCAAAGCUUGAACACUCUGGAGGUUCUCUUCCCAUCAGCAAUAGAGAUGAUCAGCAGCAGUGUACGUCCGUGUCAGACAGCUGCACUGCUGCUCUUCCUGAUGGAGAUGGACUCCUCCGCUGUCUGCUUCUUCAGGGGUUUCCUGCACAUCACAGUGAAUACAGCUUCAUUAGGGCUCUGCAAUAUGCAAUAUCUCUGUGUAAGUUAUUUCGUGAUGUCCCAGCAUACACUGUUCAUCAUUAAUAUGAGCGCAGUAAAGCACUGUGUUCACACUGAGCAAGUGAUCUAGCGGUAUCAGAUGUGGACGCUGUUCAUUUUUGGCAUUUCAUUAGUGUUUAUGUUACAUUAUUUUACAUGUUUAAUCAAACAUUUACCCUGAAGCUGGAAAUAAAGAGGGAAAUAUGAACUCAUAUGUAUGAGGAUGUUUCUAUAACUACACUCAUGACUCUACAUCACAUGUGGCCAAUAUCAUCUAUUGAAUGACUGGAUUAUCAGCAUGUGUCCUAUACUGGUAUAUAGCAUUAUCAGGAUAGCAGCUAUCUGUCAUAUCGCCCAGCCCUAAGUGUUAUUUAUAGUAGUGUUGGCUCAACAUUUAAUAUAUUACUUUAUUUUAAGCCUUGUUUAUUAUUAAAAACAAAACAAAUACAACACAUGCGUGCACACUAAUUUCCUUAAAGGGAAACCAAGAGAACUCGUGUUUACUUUCUUAUUUUUUAGUUUUAAGUGAUUUUGAUCAUAAUAUAUUACGUUUUCCCCAACGCUGAUCAUUAUUGACCUGACACACACACACACACACACACACACACACACACACACACACACACAGACAGAGAGAGAGGAGAGCAGGGAGAGCGCUGUGUUCUGCAGUGCUUAUAUUUAGGCUGAUUGUGUUUCUGCAGUGAAGCGGGCCGUGCGGGUCUGAAUGAGGCUUUAUUCUGACUGUAUAUCUGUGCUGGACUGCCGGAAGCUGCAUUACUGACAGUCAGAGCAUCAGGAAAAUAACAUUACAUAAUCAGCAGAUUCCCUGGAUAGACCAGCGCUCCUUCAGCUGCGGAGGAUCAGACAUCAUCUGCUGGAGAUCUGCUUUAUAGCCAGCAUCAAGCCGAGGAUCUGAGUGAAACGGUCCUGAAAUGAGGGAAAGAUGUAGCGCAGUGCUGGAUUUACUUCUUGGAUUGUUGAAUUUGAGUGGCUCACAAAAUAAGGACGAUUGAUGAAUGGAUGAGGGCGAACAGAAACAGGACACACACUGAUAGCUCCUCCCUAAAGAAUGAUAGCUCCGCCCUAAAGCACUGAUAGCUCCUCCCUAAAGCACUGAUAGCUCCUCCCUAAAGAGCUGAUAGCUCCGCCCUAAAUGAUUGAUAGCUCCACCCUAAAGGACUGAUAGCUUUUCCCUAAAGCUCUGAUAGCUCCGCCCUAAAGGUCUAAUAGCUCUUCCCUAAAGGUUUAAUAGCUCCGCCCUAAAGGACUGAUAGCUCCUGCAGCGCUGUAGACUGACACCUGCUGGACACAAUAAAGAAUACACAAAAAACAGCACAAUCCACACACACACACACUGAUCAUUAGCGCUCCUCUGUGUGUGUGUGUGUGUGUGUGUGU
Long non-coding RNA from Danio rerio (zebrafish), 5242 nucleotides. NCBI's taxonomy places the organism in Eukaryota, Metazoa, Chordata, Actinopteri, Cypriniformes, Danionidae. The record is from Ensembl.